This 468-nucleotide ribosomal RNA is filed under the name uncultured bacterium. RNAcentral's name for it is "partial 16S ribosomal RNA". It matches the Rfam family "Bacterial small subunit ribosomal RNA", at positions 28 to 507 of the family's 1533-position model. The record is from RNAcentral.
GACGAACGCUGGCGGCGUGCUUAACACAUGCAAGUCGAACGGCAAGGCCCUGCUUUUGUGGGUUGCUCGAGUGGCGAACGGGUGAGUAACACGUGAGUAACUUGCCCACCACUUUGGUACAACUUCAUGACACUGGGGCUAAUAGCGGAUUGGAGGCCGUGCUGCAUGGUGGGGGUUGGGAAGUUUAGGCGGUUGGGGAUGGACUCGCGGCUUAUCAGUUUGUUGGUGGGGUAGUCGAUUACCAGGGCUUUGACGGGUAGCCGGCCUGAGAGGGGAACCGGCAACAUUGGGACAGAGAUACGGGCCGGACUCCUACGGGAGACAGGAGUGGGGGAUGUAGCCCGAUGGACCGAAGUAGGGUGCAGCAAGGCGGCGUGCGGGAUGACGGCCUUCGGGUAGUAAACCACUUUCGCCUGUGACGAAGCGUGAGUGACGGUAAUGGGUGAAGAAGCACCGGCUAACUACGUG